RNAcentral lists this long non-coding RNA (317 nucleotides) under Gallus gallus (chicken). RNAcentral describes it as "lncRNA (ENSGALG00010024388.1)". The record is from RNAcentral. Lineage: Eukaryota; Metazoa; Chordata; Aves; Galliformes; Phasianidae.
GUAUUAUUUGCCCUGGGUGCACAGAGAAAUGCAAUAGAUGCCAGAUUUAUUAUGCCUUACGGAGCAUUCUGUGAUUUUUUUCCUCAUUGCAGUUCACGUGAAGAAGUUUGUUUAUAUUGCAGAACUUCAAAGCGUUUGAAUGCAAUUUUGCUUUUCCUUUUAAGGCUGUGGAAGGGAGAGGUCCCGUUUCCUGCAGCACUUGCUUGGCUCAGCACUGAGUGUGUGCUGAGAUCCGGUGCUGCACACUGGGCACAGGGAGAGCUCUUUUUUGGUUGACUCUUCUGGACUGUCUUCCCGAGGCAGAAGCUGGAAACCAC